UAGUUCAAUGGCCGCGGUACCCUGACCGUGCAAAGGUAGCAUAAUCACUUGCCCCUUAAUUAGGGGCUGGCAUGAAAGGACACACGAAAGCUUCCCUGUCUCACAAUAACAAAUAAAAAUUAAUCUUCAAGUGAAAAAGCUUGAAUAAAAUUGCAGGACAAGAAGACCCCGUUGAGCUUUAUUCUCUAUAGACUAAAUCAAAUAUUAAAUACAUCAUAAACCUAAAAAGAAUUUAGUUGGGGUGACUAAGGAACACCGAAAACUUCCUUUUAUUAAUUAGGAUCAUUCUCCAUACAAAUUGACCCAUUACACAUGAUCAAAAAAAUAAGCUACCACAGGGAUAACAGGCUAAUCUUUCUCAAGAGCCCAAAUUGUCAGAAAGGAUUGGCACCUCGAUGUUGGCUUAGGGGCCCCUAAUGGUGCAGAAGCCAUAAAUGGUAGGUUUGUUCAACCUUUAAAACCCUACGUGAUCUGAGUUC
This 479-nucleotide ribosomal RNA is filed under the name Lamellibrachia anaximandri. RNAcentral describes it as "partial 16S ribosomal RNA". It matches the Rfam family "Bacterial large subunit ribosomal RNA", at positions 1920 to 2612 of the family's 2925-position model. The record is from RNAcentral. Lineage: Eukaryota; Metazoa; Annelida; Polychaeta; Sabellida; Siboglinidae.